RNAcentral lists this transfer RNA (72 nucleotides) under Cyanobacteria bacterium SW_9_44_58. Its description in RNAcentral is "tRNA-Thr". It matches the Rfam family "tRNA". Rfam says of the family: Transfer RNA (tRNA) molecules are approximately 80 nucleotides in length. Their secondary structure includes four short double-helical elements and three loops (D, anti-codon, and T loops). Lineage: Bacteria; Bacillati; Cyanobacteriota. The record is from RNAcentral.
GCCAGCGUAGCUCAGCGGUAGAGCAACUCACUUGUAAUGAGUAGGUCAGGGGUUCGAGUCCCCUCGCUGGCU